RNAcentral lists this ribosomal RNA (848 nucleotides) under bacterium H2B2prin. RNAcentral describes it as "bacterial SSU rRNA". It matches the Rfam family "Bacterial small subunit ribosomal RNA", at positions 53 to 898 of the family's 1533-position model. The record is from RNAcentral.
ACAUGCAGUCGAACGGUAACAGGGAGCUUGCUCCGCUGACGAGUGGCGAACGGGUGAGUAAUAUAUCGGAACGUACCUAGUAAUGGGGGAUAACUAGUCGAAAGAUUAGCUAAUACCGCAUACGCCCUAAGGGGGAAAGAGGGGGAUCGCAAGACCUCUUGUUAUUAGAGCGGCCGAUAUCUGAUUAGCUAGUUGGUGAGGUAAAGGCUCACCAAGGCGACGAUCAGUAGCUGGUCUGAGAGGACGACCAGCCACACUGGAACUGAGACACGGUCCAGACUCCUACGGGAGGCAGCAGUGGGGAAUUUUGGACAAUGGGGGCAACCCUGAUCCAGCAAUGCCGCGUGAGUGAAGAAGGCCUUCGGGUUGUAAAGCUCUUUUGUCAGGGAAGAAACGGUGAGGGCUAAUAUCCUUUGCUAAUGACGGUACCUGAAGAAUAAGCACCGGCUAACUACGUGCCAGCAGCCGCGGUAAUACGUAGGGUGCAAGCGUUAAUCGGAAUUACUGGGCGUAAAGCGUGCGCAGGCGGUUGUGUAAGACAGGUGUGAAAUCCCCGGGCUUAACCUGGGAAUGGCAUUUGUGACUGCACGGCUAGAGUGUGUCAGAGGGGGGUAGAAUUCCACGUGUAGCAGUGAAAUGCGUAGAGAUGUGGAGGAAUACCGAUGGCGAAGGCAGCCCCCUGGGAUAACACUGACGCUCAUGCACGAAAGCGUGGGGAGCAAACAGGAUUAGAUACCCUGGUAGUCCACGCCCUAAACGAUGUCUACUAGUUGUCGGGUCUUAAUUGACUUGGUAACGCAGCUAACGCGUGAAGUAGACCGCCUGGGGAGUACGGUCGCAAGAUAAAU